CGCCUAUUUCCCAUUUGAAGAAGGUGUGUUUUCUGAUCGGCUUCUGACAUUAAAAGGGAAUGGGGAUGUGCUACUCAUGCAGUAAGCCAAUGCCUAGUGAGAUGGAAGAAAGAGAAUCAUAUCCACGGACUUGAAAUCAGCUCACCAGGACUAACGGCUCACUGGAGUGUGCGAGUGUUGUAAAGUUUCCAAAACCCGUCGUUGAGAACCCUGGAAAGUUCACCGAAGAGUAUGCCUUCCUCAUUACCAAGCUACUUCUGCAUCUGCGAUUAGACGGAGAACAUCUUUAAUUGCUUUAAAAUCUGAAUGCAUGAUAAGAAUGGAUUAAUUUGAUUUUUCUGUUUCUACAAGUAGCAGAUGGUUUAUGUCUUCGUAAUGCUCAUGUUGUAAAAUGAGAUCCCCAGCUUGUCUGUGAUUGGUCACUGUUAAUGAAGCAUACUGUGCUGAUUAUUGAUUUAGAAAAUGAGGAUGACAUGAGUAUUGUGUGUUGCUGUAAUAAAUUAAAGAUUAUGCUUUUUUUAAUAGCCGGCAGAAAAACAACUUAAAUAACAUAAAUAUUAGAUUUUCCAUUCAGGUGGUCUCUGGCCCGUCAAAGUAAAUGUAUUAUUUAUAAAAAA
Molecule: long non-coding RNA, 617 nt
Organism: Oncorhynchus gorbuscha (pink salmon)
Lineage: Eukaryota; Metazoa; Chordata; Actinopteri; Salmoniformes; Salmonidae
Exons: 3
Source: RefSeq, a predicted model, not a curated record